RNAcentral lists this long non-coding RNA (219 nucleotides) under Elaeis guineensis (African oil palm). Its description in RNAcentral is "long non-coding RNA (EGUI_LNC022234)". Lineage: Eukaryota; Viridiplantae; Streptophyta; Magnoliopsida; Arecales; Arecaceae. The record is from RNAcentral.
CUGGAGGCAAAUGCUAUGCAAUAAUAACAGUAUGUAACCAAGGAGAUUACAUCUGUAUAAUAUAUAUGAUGAAGAUGACACAAAGAUACUGUGUUUGGUACAGCAUGAAUUGAAUCAUAGAAAGCAUGUUAGGCACAUGACAGACAGAAGCCAACCCAACUCUCUCUAUGUAGUUUUGACUUUUGAAUGCAUUCCUUUUUGGCAGUGUAUGAUGCACCC